Molecule: transfer RNA, 71 nt
Filed under: Phalansterium sp. PJK-2012
Lineage: Eukaryota; Evosea; Variosea
Description: tRNA-Arg
Rfam family: tRNA
About the family: Transfer RNA (tRNA) molecules are approximately 80 nucleotides in length. Their secondary structure includes four short double-helical elements and three loops (D, anti-codon, and T loops).
Source: RNAcentral
AAUGGUAUAGUUCAGUGGCAGAAUAGGUGACUUCUAAUCACAAGACGAGGGUUCGAUUCCUUCUACCUCUA